UCGCGGCUUAUCACCGGCAGUCUCCUUAGAGUGCCCAACUAAAUGAUGGCAACUAAGGACGAGGGUUGCGCUCGUUGCGGGACUUAACCCAACAUCUCACGGCACGAGCUGACGACAGCUAUGCAGCACCUGUGUUCCAGUCCCCGAAGGGAAGAAAUCCAUCUCUGGAAAUCGUCCGGACAUGUCAGACGCUGGUAAGGUUCUGCGCGUUGCUUCGAAUUAAACCACAUGCUCCACCGCUUGUGCAGGCCCCCGUCAAUUCCUUUGAGUUUUAACCUUGCGGCCGUACUCCCCAGGCGGAGUGCUUAAUGCGUUAGCUGCGACACCGAAAAGCAAGCUUCCCGACGUCUAGCACUCAUAGUUUACGGCGUGGACUAC
Molecule: unclassified non-coding RNA, 378 nt
Filed under: uncultured Alphaproteobacteria bacterium
Lineage: Bacteria; Pseudomonadati; Pseudomonadota; Alphaproteobacteria
Description: contains 16S-23S intergenic spacer region
Source: RNAcentral